CCUACGGGAGGCAGCAGUGGGGAAUAUUGGACAAUGGGGGGAACCCUGAUCCAGCGACGCCGCGUGAGUGAAGAAGUAUUUCGGUAUGUAAAGCUCUAUCAGCAGGGAAGAAAAUGACGGUAUCUGACUUAGAAGCCCCGGCUAACUACGUGCCAGCAGCCGCGGUAAUACGUAGGGGUCAAGCGUUAUCCGGAUUUACUGGGUGUAAAGGGAGCGUAGACGGUGCAGCAAGUCUGAUGUGAAAGGUCGGGGCUCAACCCCGGGACUGCAUUGGAAACUGUUGAACUGGAGUACAGGAGAGGUAAGCGGAAUUCCUAGUGUAGCGGUGAAAUGCGUAGAUAUUAGGAGGAACACCAGUGGCGAAGGCGGCUUACUGGACUGUAACUGACGUUGAGGCUCGAAAGCGUGGGGAGCAAACAGGAUUAGAUACCCUGGUAGUC
RNAcentral lists this ribosomal RNA (440 nucleotides) under uncultured bacterium. RNAcentral describes it as "partial 16S ribosomal RNA". It matches the Rfam family "Bacterial small subunit ribosomal RNA", at positions 338 to 795 of the family's 1533-position model. The record is from RNAcentral.